Molecule: ribosomal RNA, 253 nt
Filed under: uncultured bacterium
Lineage: Bacteria
Description: partial 16S ribosomal RNA
Rfam family: Bacterial small subunit ribosomal RNA
Source: RNAcentral
UACGGAGGGUGCAGGCGUUAUCCGGAUUCACUGGGUUUAAAGGGUGCGUAGGUGGGCAGGUAAGUCAGUGGUGAAAUCUCCGGGCUUAACUCGGAAACUGCCAUUGAUACUAUCUGUCUUGAAUACCGUGGAGGUCAGCGGAAUAUGUCAUGUAGCGGUGAAAUGCUUAGAUAUGACAUAGAACACCAAUUGCGAAGGCAGCUGGCUACACGAAUAUUGACACUGAUGCACGAAAGCGUGGGGAUCAAACAGG